RNAcentral lists this ribosomal RNA (266 nucleotides) under uncultured prokaryote. RNAcentral's name for it is "partial 16S ribosomal RNA". It matches the Rfam family "Bacterial small subunit ribosomal RNA", at positions 920 to 1178 of the family's 1533-position model. The record is from RNAcentral.
GCACCCGCACAAGCGGUGGAGCAUGCCGUUUAAUUCGAAGAUACGCGAAGAACCUUACCUGGGCUUGACAUCCCGAUGAAAACUUUUGGAAACAUUAGUCCUCUACUUCGGUAGACAUCGGUGACAGGUGGUGCAUGGUUGUCGUCAGCUCGUGUCGUGAGAUGUUCGGUUAAGUCCGAUAACGAGCGCAACCCCUGUCUUUAAUUGCUAACAUUAAGUUGAGAACCUUAAAGAUACUGCCGAUAACAAAUCGGAGGAAGGUGGGG